Molecule: long non-coding RNA, 239 nt
Organism: Mastomys coucha (southern multimammate mouse)
Lineage: Eukaryota; Metazoa; Chordata; Mammalia; Rodentia; Muridae
Exons: 3
Source: RefSeq, a predicted model, not a curated record
CGCUGCACUUCUAAGGAUGUCUCCAGGAGACCCAGACGGUCAAGCCUGUGGUUGAGAUGCAAGCGGUCCCUCAGAUGAGAGUCUUGGAAUCCAGGGAGACACAGGAAAACUCAACUGUACCUGGCACCAGCUCCACCCCCUAGUUAAGGAAUGCAAAAGGUGAUGAGGGGGGUCACCAUGGAAACAGCAGUGCCAGAGGAAGGCCAACGGCGUGAACAUUCCCUUCAGAGUCGCCGCUG